Molecule: long non-coding RNA, 1195 nt
Filed under: Ricinus communis (castor bean)
Lineage: Eukaryota; Viridiplantae; Streptophyta; Magnoliopsida; Malpighiales; Euphorbiaceae
Description: long non-coding RNA (RCOM_LNC001135)
Source: RNAcentral
AUUGUUGUGAAUAGAAGAAAACACGGGGACAUUGUAGUUAUCAUAACUUCUAUAUAAAGCAAAUAGUAAAUGGAAUUCGGUGAGCACAAGCCAGAAGAUUCCCACUUUAAUGCUUAGUAUAUACGUAGAAACAUGGCAAGAAGUCAAUCAACCAUAAUAACAUGCUCAACCUCUACCUCUACCUCUAUGCAACCAAGUCUUCUUCUGCCCAAGAUUCAACAUCCCAAGCCCUCACUCAAGACGCCAUUCUCCGCUAUUGCACCGCCCCGCUUUAUCAGAGUCUUUAAAGUACAUAUUCAGACAACCUUGGAAACAAUUUAUGAAGAAGAAAAAGAAGAAGAGGAAUGCAUGGACAUGAGUCAGACAACUUCUUCGUCUUCAUCGAUCUUGUCUAGUCAGUCUACUUGUUUCUUGUUACAGGGUCAAAUGCCUUUGUUGUCUUAUAGUAGUCAUAGCAUGGGGUGUGCUUAAGCAGCCACUCUUAUGGGACAAAAUCCAUGAAAUACUUAUCCCACAGUAGUACUCAUGGUUUUUGUUGGAGAAGUUAAUUUUAUUUUAAUUAAUUGCGUAAUUUCGAAAAUAGAUUGCUUGAGAGUUGAGAGUAUCUAUUCCAAACUCAAGUAAAUUUUGUUAGGUUCUUUAUUGAGUUUCCUCAGGUGUAGAGACUAUUAACUAAGUUGUAACGAUAAUCAUAUACUUUUGAAUCAAAAUGGAAGAUUUCUUUUAUUUUUGUUUUAUUAUUAUUUUUUUUUGUGGAAGAGAAAAAACUAUUCCAAAUUUAUAACUUCAAAUAGUUAUUAUCAUUUUUAUUUGAAAAAGAAAAAGGUAAUUUCCUAUAUAUAAUUGUUCCUCAAACUUGCAAAUGACAUUUUGCCGAUUAAGAAAAAUAAAUCAACUUUCUACUAAAGGAGAAAGCUUUGUUUUCAUGAAUAUUUGUUAAAGUACUUGUGUUGAAUUAUAACACAUUCAAAUGGUGGACAAGUUCACCAGAUUGUCGUCAUCAUUUGCUUUAUCAUGAUUCUAGUGGCUCAAAAGAAUUACAGAUUGUCUUCGCUUCUCUUGUUCGGAGAUGUCCUCCUGCUCUUUGUAAUGUUUCUUUUCUAUUUUAAUAUUAUUAAGGACUAAAGUAACAAUGAAAAGUCUAUUGAUGUGCCAAACUAAGUCCACAUAUCAAAUAUUUUAACACGUGUUAAUA